This is a non-coding RNA of Fusarium sp. DS 682, 93 nucleotides long. The record is from the annotation of a GenBank genome assembly. Lineage: Eukaryota; Fungi; Ascomycota; Sordariomycetes; Hypocreales; Nectriaceae.
GGUCGAGUGGUGUAGUGGUUUAUCACGUCUGCCUCACAGUGUAUGUCAAUACUUGGACGCAGAAGGUCCCGAGUUCAAUCCUCGGUUCGACCU